UACAGAGGUCUCAAGCGUUGUUCGGAUUCAUUGGGCGUAAAGCGCGCGCAGGCGGCUCUUUAAGUCUGGUGUUUAAGUGCGGGGCUCAACCCCGUGACGCACUGGAAACUGGGGAGCUUGAGUGCAGAAGAGGAGAGCGGAAUUCCACGUGUAGCGGUGAAAUGCGUAGAGAUGUGGAGGAACACCAGUGGCGAAGGCGGCUCUCUGGACUGUAACUGACGCUGAGGCGCGAAAGCGUGGGGAGCAAACAGG
Molecule: ribosomal RNA, 252 nt
Filed under: uncultured bacterium
Lineage: Bacteria
Description: partial 16S ribosomal RNA
Rfam family: Bacterial small subunit ribosomal RNA
Source: RNAcentral